RNAcentral lists this ribosomal RNA (208 nucleotides) under uncultured bacterium. RNAcentral's name for it is "partial 16S ribosomal RNA". It matches the Rfam family "Bacterial small subunit ribosomal RNA", at positions 568 to 774 of the family's 1533-position model. The record is from RNAcentral.
CACGUAGGUGGGUCGUUAAGUUGAGGGUGAAAUCCCAGGGCUCAACCCUGGAACUGCCUUCAAUACUGGCGACCUUCGAGUCCGGGAGAGGUGAGUGGAACUGCGAGUGUAGAGGUGAAAUUCGUAGAUAUUCGCAAGAACACCAGUGGCGAAGGCGGCUCACUGGCCCGGUACUGACACUGAGGUGCGAAAGCGUGGGGAGCAAACA